GUACAAGGCUAAAUAGGGCCCUGGGAUGGGGCAUCUGUGGCAGGGAGGGGUGCAAAACCAAAGAGUUGGGAGUCUAGCCAACUCCUUGGUUUUGCACCCCUCCCUGUCACAGGUGCCUCAUCCCAGGGCCCCAUUUAGCCUUGUACU
Non-coding RNA from Pelobates cultripes (western spadefoot toad), 147 nucleotides. NCBI's taxonomy places the organism in Eukaryota, Metazoa, Chordata, Amphibia, Anura, Pelobatidae. The record is from the annotation of a GenBank genome assembly.